Molecule: ribosomal RNA, 860 nt
Filed under: uncultured archaeon
Lineage: Archaea
Description: bacterial SSU rRNA
Rfam family: Archaeal small subunit ribosomal RNA
Source: RNAcentral
GAGCUCUCCCAUAUGGUCGACCUGCAGGCGGCCGCACUAGUGAUUGCCAUGCGAGUCGAGAGGUUUCUGACCUCGGCGUACUGCUCAGUAACACGUGGACAAUCUGCCCUGGAGAGGAGGAUAUCCCCGGGAAACUGGGAUUAAUACUCCAUAGUUCGUCUUAACUGGAAUGUUAUUCGAACGAAAGAUCCGUCGCUCCAGGAUGAGUCUGCGGCCGAUUAGGUAGUUGUUGGGGUAACGGCCCAACAAGCCUUUCAUCGGUACGGGUUGUGGGAGCAAGAGCCCGGAGAUGGAUUCUGAGACACGAAUCCAGGCCCUACGGGGCGCAGCAGGCGCGAAAACUUUACCAUGCGGGCAACCGUGAUAAGGAAACCCCGAGUGCCAGCACAGGCUGGCUGUCCGCCAGUUUAAAUAACUGGUGAAGAAAGGGCCGGGCAAGACCGGUGCCAGCCGCCGCGGUAAUACCGGCGGCUCGAGUGGUGGCCGCUAUUACUGGGCUUAAAGGGUCCGUAGCUUGAUAACUGGGUCCCUUGAGAAAUCCGCCAGCUUAACUGGCGGGCGUUCAGGGGAAACUUGUUUUCUAGGGACCGGGAGAGGUGAGGGGUACUGCCGGGGUAGGAGUGAAAUCCUGUAAUCCCGGUGGGACCACCUAUGGCGAAGGCAUCUCACCAGAACGGGUCCGACAGUGAGGGACGAAAGCUGGGGGAGCAAACCGGAUUAGAUACCCGGGUAGUCCCAGCUGUAAACUAUGUGCGUUAGGUGUGUCAGUGACCACGUGUCACUGAGGUGCCGANNNGAAACCGUGAAACGCACCGCCUGGGGAGUACGGUCGCAAGGCUGAAACUUAAAGGAAUUGGCGG